This 468-nucleotide ribosomal RNA is filed under the name uncultured bacterium. Its description in RNAcentral is "bacterial SSU rRNA". It matches the Rfam family "Bacterial small subunit ribosomal RNA", at positions 328 to 792 of the family's 1533-position model. The record is from RNAcentral.
UCUCCAGACUCCUACGGGAGGCAGCAGUGAGGAAUAUUGGUCAAUGGGCGGAAGCCUGAACCAGCCAAGUCGCGUGAGGGAUUAAGGCCCUGCGGGUCGUAAACCUCUUUUGCCGGGGAGCAGUGGUCCGGACGCGUCCGGACCGGGAGAGUACCCGGAGAAAAAGCAUCGGCUAACUCCGUGCCAGCAGCCGCGGUAAUACGGAGGAUGCGAGCGUUAUCCGGAUUUACUGGGUGUAAAGGGCGUGCAGCCGGAGAGACAAGUCAGAUGUGAAAUCCACAGGCUCAACCUGUGAACUGCAUUUGAAACUGUUUCCCUUGAGUAUCGGAGAGGUCAUCGGAAUUCCUAGUGUAGCGGUGAAAUGCGUAGAUAUUAGGAAGAACACCAGUGGCGAAGGCGGAUGACUGGACGACAACUGACGGUGAGGCGCGAAAGCGUGGGGAGCAAACAGGAUUAGAUACCCGGGUA